CAUACUCAUUUGACGUUAGCUGCAGAAGAAGCACCGGCUAACUCCGUGCCAGCAGCCGCGGUAAUACGGAGGGUGCGAGCGUUAAUCGGAAUUACUGGGCGUAAAGCGCAUGCAGGUGGUUUGUUAAGUCAGAUGUGAAAGCCCGGGGCUCAACCUCGGAAUUGCAUUUGAAACUGGCAAACUAGAGUACUGUAGAGGGGGUAGAAUUUCAGGUGUAGCGGUGAAAUGCGUAGAGAUCUGAAGGAAUACCGGUGGCGAAGGCGGCCCCCUGGACAGAUACUGACACUCAGAUGCGAAAGCGUGGGGAGCAAACAGGAUUAGAUACCCUGGUAG
RNAcentral lists this ribosomal RNA (333 nucleotides) under uncultured bacterium. RNAcentral describes it as "bacterial SSU rRNA". It matches the Rfam family "Bacterial small subunit ribosomal RNA", at positions 460 to 793 of the family's 1533-position model. The record is from RNAcentral.